This is a long non-coding RNA of Dipodomys ordii (Ord's kangaroo rat), 726 nucleotides long. RefSeq lists it as uncharacterized. The record is from RefSeq and is a predicted model, not a curated record. Lineage: Eukaryota; Metazoa; Chordata; Mammalia; Rodentia; Heteromyidae. The transcript has 3 exons.
AAGCCCCAGGUUAGGAUAGCCUUUGCUCAUUGUGAUUAUGAACCAAAUUAUGGGGGUUUCUGUCAGUAAGAUCUGAGAUGUACACUGUGAGAGACAUGGAAAAUGGCAUGAGUCAUUGUCUGCUUCCUCUUCCCCCCAAGGAACUUUUUUGGAUUUCUGCGAAGGAAAUGCUCAUCAGAAACUACAAGUCAGGAGGGCUUCUCCUUAUGGCAACCAGUUUGGCUGAGGGAUAUGUACAGACCUCUCAAUGCCACACGCAAGAAAAGCAUGGCCAACAAGCUACAUGACAGGGACUCUUCCGAUGAGGAAGAGAGUUUGCAUAAGAAGAGAAAAGGGGAUCCCAGUGACAUCAUCAUAGAGAUUCCACCAUCAUCAUCACCACCACCAGCCUCACCACCACCUCCUCCUCCACCUGCUGAAAUUAGUCCACCGGUGAUCCUGGGUGUUGUGGUGCUGUGCGUGCCUCAUAAGUCUGAGACUUUUACACUUGGACUCUCACAUUGUUUAUUCCACACCUAAUUUCUAACAUUUGCUAACAUUUUGGCAUACUGUUUCCUCAGAUUAAAUUGUAUACAAUUCAUAACCAUUUCCAUGGGUGGUACUUACAUAUAUGUGUGCAGAUAACAGGGGCACAGGCAGGAGCGGCAGGACUGUGGCUAGGGCUGUGUCAUGGCAGUCAUGCUUGCAGAAGGUAUAGGUGGCUUCCAAAGAGGACAUCCUGCCUGC